RNAcentral lists this ribosomal RNA (253 nucleotides) under uncultured bacterium. RNAcentral describes it as "partial 16S ribosomal RNA". It matches the Rfam family "Bacterial small subunit ribosomal RNA", at positions 524 to 776 of the family's 1533-position model. The record is from RNAcentral.
UACGGGGGGGGCAAGCGUUGUUCGGAAUUACUGGGCGUAAAGGGCUCGUAGGCGGCCAACUAAGUCAUACGUGAAAUCCCUCGGCUUAACCGGGGAACUGCGUCUGAUACUGGAUGGCUUGAGAUUGGGAGAGGGAUGCGGAAUUCCAGGUGUAGCGGUGAAAUGCGUAGAUAUCCGGAGGAACACCGGUGGCGAAGGCGGCUUCCUGGACCGACACUGACGCUGAGGCGCGAAAGCUAGGGGAGCAAACGGG